CGGCUUGGUCAGGUCGACGGUAAGGAACAACAAUGGCUCAGUCUUUCCUACGUUUUUUCUGCUUUUCAUUUUAUUUUUCUCCGGGAGAGGCAACCUGAUAUUGUUGGGCUAUUUGCGCUGAAAUAAUAUGACAUCUUGCCUGGAUCACCUACUGAUACGCAUUGGAGUCACAUCGAGGAGCCCAGAGUAACCUUCCGUUCUGUCUUUAAGCAAUAUACAAUCCCAAUUGUGAAU
This 234-nucleotide small RNA is filed under the name Oryza sativa Japonica Group (Japanese rice). RNAcentral describes it as "sRNA Os03g0144150". The record is from RNAcentral. Lineage: Eukaryota; Viridiplantae; Streptophyta; Magnoliopsida; Poales; Poaceae.